This 422-nucleotide ribosomal RNA is filed under the name uncultured bacterium. RNAcentral's name for it is "bacterial SSU rRNA". It matches the Rfam family "Bacterial small subunit ribosomal RNA", at positions 355 to 774 of the family's 1533-position model. The record is from RNAcentral.
UAAGGAAUAUUGGUCAAUGGACGCAAGUCUGAACCAGCCACGCCGCGUGGAGGAUGAAGGUCCUCUGGAUUGUAAACUUCUUUUAUCUGGGACGAAACACUUCUUUUCUAAGAGGCCUGACGGUACCAGAUGAAUAAGCACCGGCUAACUCCGUGCCAGCAGCCGCGGUAAUACGGAGGGUGCAAGCGCUAUCCGGACUUACUGGGUUUAAAGGGUGCGUAGGCGGAUGAAUAAGUCAGUGGUGAAAUCUCCGAGCUUAACUCGGAAACUGCCGUUGNUACUAUUUGUCUUGAAUAUUGUGGAGGUAAGCGGAAUAUGUCAUGUAGCGGUGAAAUGCUUAGAUAUGACAUAGAACACCAAUUGCGAAGGCAGCUUGCUACACAAUCAUUGACGCUGAGGCACGAAAGCGUGGGGAUCAAACA